UACGAACUGUGCAAACGUUAUUCGGAAUCACUGGGCUUAAAGGGUGCGUAGGCGGCUAUUUAAGUAGGGUGUGAAAGCCCCCGGCUCAACCGGGGAAUUGCGUCCUAAACUGGAUAGCUCGAGUGAGAUAGAGGUGUGCGGAACUUCCGGUGGAGCGGUGAAAUGUGUUGAUAUCGGAAGGAACGCCGGUGGCGAAAGCGGCACACUGGGUCUCGAACUGACGCUGAGGCACGAAAGCCAGGGGAGCGAACGGG
RNAcentral lists this ribosomal RNA (254 nucleotides) under uncultured bacterium. RNAcentral describes it as "partial 16S ribosomal RNA". It matches the Rfam family "Bacterial small subunit ribosomal RNA", at positions 524 to 776 of the family's 1533-position model. The record is from RNAcentral.